Molecule: long non-coding RNA, 210 nt
Filed under: Nicotiana benthamiana
Lineage: Eukaryota; Viridiplantae; Streptophyta; Magnoliopsida; Solanales; Solanaceae
Description: long non-coding RNA (NBEN_LNC026245)
Source: RNAcentral
AAGAAGUUCGAUUAGAAAGAAGACGGUUUUUGCAAUUAGUGAGUUACAGCUAUGGAGUACAACAUCAAGUUUUGUGGACAAGCUUAGUUGCAUCAUGGGCUGAUGAGCCUCAAUAAUUUCUAUACGGAAAAUAUGUCGCGUUCUCCGGCAUCAAAUUGGCCGCGGGAGUCGACCAAAGUUGCCGGAAUUUGUUGCCACGGGAUGGAACGG